CAGUAGCCACGGUAAUACAGAGGGUGCGAGCGUUAAUCGGAUUUACUGGGCGUAAAGCGUGCGUAGGCGGCUUUUUAAGUCGGAUGUGAAAUCCCUGAGCUUAACUUAGGAAUUGCAUUCGAUACUGGGAAGCUAGAGUAUGGGAGAGGAUGGUAGAAUUCCGGGUGUAGCGGUGAAAUGCGUAGAGAUCUGGAGGAAUACCGAUGGCGAAGGCAGCCAUCUGGCCUAAUACUGACGCUGAGGUACGAAAGCAUGGGGAGCAAACAGGAUUAGAGACCCCUGUAGUCCCUGUCUCUUAUAU
Molecule: ribosomal RNA, 301 nt
Filed under: uncultured bacterium
Lineage: Bacteria
Description: partial 16S ribosomal RNA
Rfam family: Bacterial small subunit ribosomal RNA
Source: RNAcentral